RNAcentral lists this small RNA (28 nucleotides) under Bombyx mori (domestic silkworm). RNAcentral's name for it is "ovarian small RNA-16861". Lineage: Eukaryota; Metazoa; Arthropoda; Insecta; Lepidoptera; Bombycidae. The record is from RNAcentral.
GCGCAAUUUCGGGCGACCACCAGUGCGC